UACGUAGGGGGCUAGCGUUGUCCGGAUUUAUUGGGCGUAAAGAGCGUGUAGGCGGCCAGAUAGGUCUGCUGUGAAAACUCGAGGCUCAACCUCGAGAUGUCGGCGGAAACCAUUUGGCUAGAGUCCGGAAGAGGAAAGUGGAAUUCCUGGUGUAGCGGUGAAAUGCGCAGAUAUCAGGAAGACCACCCCUGGCGAAGGCGGCUUUCUGGGCCGGUACUGACGUUGAGGCGCGAAAGCGUGGGGAGCGAACAGG
RNAcentral lists this ribosomal RNA (253 nucleotides) under uncultured bacterium. Its description in RNAcentral is "partial 16S ribosomal RNA". It matches the Rfam family "Bacterial small subunit ribosomal RNA", at positions 524 to 776 of the family's 1533-position model. The record is from RNAcentral.